RNAcentral lists this long non-coding RNA (212 nucleotides) under Elaeis guineensis (African oil palm). RNAcentral describes it as "long non-coding RNA (EGUI_LNC008962)". The record is from RNAcentral. Lineage: Eukaryota; Viridiplantae; Streptophyta; Magnoliopsida; Arecales; Arecaceae.
GAUGGGACGGUCGUAGUUAUAGAGAGAGAAGCAUCAUGAACAAGCAGAGAAAAGUGUAAGAAAAACUUUAGUCAUUAAUGAACAUUUCAUUGGCAACAAGCUAACAUCGUUGCGAUCUCUAACUAUGAAUGCAAUGGCUCGUACGACGCUUGGAAUGGUCCAACUAAUGGUAUUGUUAAGCGUAUCCUGCUCUACAAUAGAAUAGAAACAGG